CUGGGGGCGGAGCGGGGCGGGACUCCGCGGCGUCUCUGUGUCUCUUGCGCGCGGUCGCUGCCUCCUUCUCCAGCGCCGCUGCCAGCCGGGCUCCGGCGCCCUGGACCCAGUACUGCUUCUCCCCAAAUCCCCCCACCUGUCUUGUGGAUCGCGUGAGGGACGACGUGGAACUGGAGAUGAACUCCUUUAUGGCAUGUUCUGUGUCAAAGUGGAAUUUCUCUCUAGGCCUGCUUUGCCUCUUUCCCUCCCCUUUCCCCCUCCCCCCCCCAUUACCACCAUUUCCAUCACAUAGGGGUCAGCUCCUCCCAGGACCUGGAAAGCUACAGAGGGAGGCUCCUUUUUGGUGGACCAUUGGAAGUUUAUUGGCCUGAGAGAGCCAUCUGUUAUCAUUCCAAGUUUGGGUGAGCCUGGAAAUGAAGAAAGAAGUAUGGAUUUGCAUGUUGAUGUUACAGUCAAUGUUUAACCAUUUAAAAAUAAAUUAAAUAAAAAAACUUUUUGAAACUGUUAG
RNAcentral lists this long non-coding RNA (508 nucleotides) under Gopherus agassizii (Agassiz's desert tortoise). RNAcentral describes it as "lncRNA (ENSGAGG00000005963.1)". Lineage: Eukaryota; Metazoa; Chordata; Testudines; Testudinidae. The record is from RNAcentral.